RNAcentral lists this ribosomal RNA (460 nucleotides) under uncultured bacterium. RNAcentral describes it as "partial 16S ribosomal RNA". It matches the Rfam family "Bacterial small subunit ribosomal RNA", at positions 338 to 795 of the family's 1533-position model. The record is from RNAcentral.
CCUACGGGUGGCAGCAGUGAGGAAUAUUGGUCAAUGGACGAGAGUCUGAACCAGCCAAGUAGCGUGAAGGAUGACUGCCCUAUGGGUUGUAAACUUCUUUUAUAUGGGAAUAAAAUGUUCCACGUGUGGGAUUUUGUAUGUACCAUAUGAAUAAGGAUCGGCUAACUCCGUGCCAGCAGCCGCGUUAAUCCGGAGGAUCCGAGCGUUAUCCGGAUUUAUUGGGUUUAAGGGGAUCGUAGGUGGAUUGUUAAGCCAGUUGUGAAAGUUUGCGGGUCAACCGUAAAAUUGCAGUUGAAACUGGCAGUCUUGAGUACAGUAGAGGUGGGCGGAAUUCGUGGUGUAGCGGUGAAAUGCUUAGAUAUCACGAAGAACUCCGAUUGCGAAGGCAGUUCACUGGACUGCAACUGACACUGAGGCUCGAAAGUGUGGGUAUCAAACAGGAUUAGAUACCCUUGUAGUC